CUGGCUCAGAACGAACGCUGGUGGCGUGUUUUAUACAUGCAAGUCGAGCGAGGACGGUAGCAAUACCGAGCCGAGCGGCGAACGGGUGAGUAACGCGUAAGCAAUCUGCCCCACAAUCGGGAACAACCGUGCCAACGCGCGGCUAAUGCCGGAUAUUGUAGUCUACUGCAUAGUAGGCCAACGAAAGAUUUAUUGUUGUGGGAUGAGCUUGCGUCCGAUUAGCUAGUUGGCGGGGUAAUAGCCCACCAAGGCGACGAUCGGUAGCCGGCCUGAGAGGGUGAUCGGCCACAUUGGGACUGAGAUACGGCCCAGACUCCUACGGGAGGCAGCAGUAGGGAAUAUUGCGCAAUGGGGGGAACCCUGACGCAAGCAACGCCACGUGUGGGAAGAAGCAUUUCGGUGUGUAAACCACUGUCGGAAAGGAAUAACGGAAGACUUCGGUCUUUAUGAAUGUACUUUUAGAGGAAGCACCGGCAAACUUCGUGCCAGCCGCCGC
Molecule: ribosomal RNA, 496 nt
Filed under: uncultured bacterium
Lineage: Bacteria
Description: bacterial SSU rRNA
Rfam family: Bacterial small subunit ribosomal RNA
Source: RNAcentral